UUGAACGCUGGCGGCGUGCUUAACACAUGCAAGUCGUGCGAGAAGGUCCUCGGGACUGAGUAGAGCGGCGCACGGGUGAGUAACGCGUGGGUGACCUACCCAGGAGACCGGGAUAACAGUGGGAAACUGCUGCUAAGUACCGGGUACGCUUCAUAUUUCACGUAUGGGGGAAAGGCGGCCUCUGCUUGCAAGCUGCCACUCUUGGAUGGGCCCGCGUCUCAUUAGCUUGUUGGUAGGGUAACGGCCUACCAAGGCGACGAUGAGUAGCUGGUCUGAGAGGAUGAUCAGCCACACUGGGACUGGAACACGGCCCAGACUCCUACGGGAGGCAGCAGUGGGGAAUAUUGCGCAAUGGGCGAAAGCCUGACGCAGCGACGCCGCGUGAAGGGGAAGAAGGCCUUCGGGUCGUAAACCUCUGUCAGGAGGGAAGAAACCAUGGGAGUCGAAUAGGCUCUCGUGCUGACGGUACCUCCGGAGGAAGCACCGGCUAACUCCGUGCCAGCAGCAGC
Molecule: ribosomal RNA, 509 nt
Filed under: uncultured bacterium
Lineage: Bacteria
Description: bacterial SSU rRNA
Rfam family: Bacterial small subunit ribosomal RNA
Source: RNAcentral